CCGAAACGAAAAACUCACGUGAAACGAAACGAAGAGAGCUUUAGCAAGUCGAACUGAUCGGACGAAAACCGCUGCACCGAAACCCGCAAAGACUACGCUGGAGCUCCCUGCAUUUGGGCUACCGCGACUGCCAUCGCCAUCAUCUUUGUUUUGGUUGUCAUUGCUGGGUGCAAAUGGCCGGCGUGUGUGUUCUUAAUGUUUCUGAGCAACAAGUUUUGCAAAGUUUGGUUCGGAGGGAGUAUGGAACGCCGUUUUGUGGUCAACGUGGCCAGAGUGCCUCAAAAGUACUCCUGCCGCAUUCUGGUCACUGUUAUAAAUGUGAAUCCCUGCCACCAUCAGCAGCUUUUAAGUAGAUUCAUGGCACAUGAGGAACCUGCGAUGUACACCAUCGCACACAGUCAAGAAAAAUGUAGCAUUUAACCUUGCUUUCCUUCAUUAUAACAAACAAAAAAAAGAAAGAAAGAAAGAACACUAGAGAAAGGGUCGGCAAAACAGUGAGUGUUUUGUUGUUGUUGUUUUUGAUUCUAUUGAUCUCUCACUGUCAGGUUGCACUGCCGAUCUGUUCACAAUCAUAACUAACUAAUACCUUAGCUUUGGCCAAUCUCAUGUUGCAAUUUUGCUUCAAACACAACAUUCAGGGAUUCUUAUGAAAACAGCAGCAUUUCUGAAAGAUCCUGGAACGGCCACAAUCUCAAGAGGUAGUACGAUUCUACCCGUCGUCAUAUUUCGUCCGCCAAGCCAUUGCGCGGAGAUGUUGGCUCCAUGCCCAUUUCAACACAGGCUCACCCGCGCUCGCUCGCGCGUCGUCGCUUGUCUUCCAUGCCACCAGCCAGCGCUGCGCGCUGCCUGUCGCGCAUGCGCUGUUCUUGUUGGCUUCGCUUUGGCUGCUGUAACGGUCGUUUCUCGUCGCCGCGUGUAGUUCGCGUAAUUGCGAGCGUUCCAGCAAGUCUAAAGCGUUUUAGAGGCUUUGUAUUGUUGUUCUCACCUGGUGCUGUCGUUCUUGCAACCCGUCUGAUAUUGCAACUGUCUGUAAGUGGAAGCGUUUCUUCUAACCGCGAGCAAACCAGUCGGUCUCGUUUGACAUGUCAAAGAGUGAAGACGCUACCUUGCAUGUGAAGCCAAAUCGUUCUUCGCCUUCAGGAUUAUUGCCGUUUCAGGGAUCUGCGCAACGACAGGGAGAUAGAACGCCAAGUGAAGUCGACUGUGUACUUUGUGCAGACGGUUCAGCGUGUAUGACGCAGCGGCCUUCAGCAAGAGAAACUCAAGCACCGUGUUCAAAUGCAGUGGGGACUCUUGCUGGCCAUGACAACGCUUAGAAGUGCUUUUUCGGAAGAAGGACAAGUUGGACCGGAAAUGAGGACCUAGGUGUGCUCUUUUGCGCUGUUGUUCACCGUUCGAUCAUUACCAGUUUUUGUGCCCCCGUGAGUUCAACGCUUAGGUAUGUUGAUGAUAAAUGGAUAUGCGUUAAAAGGUACGUACUCCGGAGUGGUGAAUUGUUCUGGUGAAGUGAUUCGUUGCUGCUAUCUCCUGUUUCGUGAGGGUUCUUGUCGGUACUCAUAUACCGCAGGCAUGAGGGGCUUUCUUUGCAGAACAUUUCAGUAAACCAAGACUGCAGCAUUUUCAAGAUUGCCAUAACCAGCAUCAAUGCAGCUCUCAUGUCAACAUCAGCAUCAAGACAGCUCUGAUAGACCACCUCUUACUGUGUACGUUCCCCCCCCCCCCCCUUUUGAGACACCAUUGAAGGGCCAGUGGUUACGCAGGCAGGCUGGAUAUUACGACACAAUUGGCAUGCAUUGGAUGAUGCAGGCAGACUGCUUAGUGUACACCACUCGUCGUUUAGUCUAUUGAGGUGCUCCAAGUGUUGUGUCAGUCUAUUUCCUCUCCGAAAAUAAAAUGUUGGGCUCUACA
Long non-coding RNA from Ornithodoros turicata, 1908 nucleotides. RefSeq lists it as uncharacterized. The record is from RefSeq and is a predicted model, not a curated record. The transcript has 5 exons. Lineage: Eukaryota; Metazoa; Arthropoda; Arachnida; Ixodida; Argasidae.